GGGAUUUCAAAAAAAAUUUCUGAAACUGUACAUUUCGUUUUCGUUUAGGGAUUUCAAAAAACUCGCAGAAGAAACGCCCAAGACCGCCGCCGUUGAAGCCACAGUACCUGCCGCCGUUGAAGCCACAUUGUCUGCCACUGUUAUUCACUUCUUCAUCGUCAUCGUCUAGACUCCGACUAUUCAGAAGCUUCAGUUAUAAGUGGUGAUGUGCCAGUUGGAAUUGAAGGCGUCAGUAAUCAAGGUUGACAGGUUUAUCCAUUUUGAAUCAGUUCUCUCGAUUUGCAAAAGAUAUUAAAGUGCUUCUGCGCGAUGAAGUUUAUGUUGUAAAUGUUCUAGGAAGUUGCUGGUUUUAGAAGAAAGCAAAAGAUGGUAAGAACAAAAAACACAAACCAUUCCUCAUGGAGGCACAUCAUUAUCCGGAGUCCAAUUUCGAGACGUACAACAUAAAAAACAAUACAAAGAGAUGACGAAAAGAGAUAUUUGUCUUGGAAGAAGUUUAGAUUUAGGAUUUAUAACUAGUUUGGGUUUAGGUGAUGAGAUUAAUGGUUGGAUCUGUAAUUUGAAAUGGGACCAGUUGGUGAGUAUUAGAUAUGACGGAUAUAAGCAUUUGAUUUAUGAGUUUUUUAGUAGUUUGGAAGUUGUGGAGACAAGUACUGAUGAUUUUUUGGCGUAUACAAUUUUUUUAGAUUAAAGAAUCAGAAUUGUGUAGUGAGGCCACAGGACUUAUCAAACUGGAUAGAGAUUGAUUUUGAAGGUUUGGAUAAUGUAUCCAGAACGUGGGAUUCCAAACAAGCUUGGACAGAUGUUUCUAGAAUAGGGGUUUAUCAUCCACAUAGGUGUAAAUCUACAAAGUUAAAGAAUCCUGCCAUGAGAGUUUUUCACAGAUUUCUGACAUUCACAUUUAAUGGCAGGAAAGAGACAAAUUGAAAUGUGACAGUCAAGGAUUUAUUGUUGAUGGAAGCAGCAAUAACAAGGAAGCAAGUAAAUUUAGCAAAGUUAUUGAUUAAGAAGUUGGGAGAGAUUAAAGCAGAAAAAUGUGACAUUUAUUGGGGGAUGCUUGUUACGCUAAUGUGUGAAAAGUUGGGUUUUGAGAUCACCCUUUCAGAUGAAGCCAAUAAGAUAACAUUUUCUGCAAAUAAUUUGUUGGGGAAUGUCACAUUGUCUAAAAUGGGUUUGAUUAAAAAGAAUGUGUCAAGAGAAUGAUUGCUGAUUAGGGAUGAAAUAGAGGAAGAGGCAACGGUUCAGGAAGGUGUCCCUAUUCCAGAAAGGGAAAAUGAAGGACGAGUCUAUGUGCGCAAAAGAAGAAGAACGAGUAUUGAACCUGGAUCUUCUCAGAAUGUGGAAGAAAUGUCUUCUCAUACUUUAGACAAAAUAGUAAGCAGAAUUGAUCGGAUCGAAAAGUUUCAAGAAUAGAGUUUUUCACGUAUUAAGAGAAAAAUGCAGGAACAACAGGAUCAGUUGCAAAGUGAUUUCAACUCGUUCGCAUCAAGAAUAGAAGAAACGGUUGACAUCCUUGGGGAACGCAUGACAGAAAUAUCCAACAUGAUGAAGAAAUUUUCACCAGCGUCCUCCUCCUUCAGUCAACCUCGGCCCUUUACAUUAGGAUGAAGAACUACUGAACAACCUCCACCUUCUCAACAUCCUUGGGGAACACACUAUGAAUGUUAAUUAUCAUUAUGUGUAGUUCAGAUACUAAACUGUAUGUACGCAAAUAUGUUAAUUAAUAAAGUUUGAUUUCACAAGAUGUUGUCAAUU
Long non-coding RNA from Pistacia vera, 1755 nucleotides. RefSeq lists it as uncharacterized. NCBI's taxonomy places the organism in Eukaryota, Viridiplantae, Streptophyta, Magnoliopsida, Sapindales, Anacardiaceae. The record is from RefSeq and is a predicted model, not a curated record. The transcript is spliced from 4 exons.